Molecule: ribosomal RNA, 253 nt
Filed under: uncultured bacterium
Lineage: Bacteria
Description: partial 16S ribosomal RNA
Rfam family: Bacterial small subunit ribosomal RNA
Source: RNAcentral
UACGGAGGGAGCUAGCGUUGUUCGGAAAUACUGGGCGUAAAGCGCACGUAGGCGGCUUAGCAAGUCAGGGGUGAAAUCCCGGAGCUCAACUCCGGAACUGCCUUUGAAACUGCUUCGCUUGAAUCCUGGAGAGGCGAGUGGAAUUCCGAGUGUAGAGGUGAAAUUCGUAGAUAUUCGGAAGAACACCAGUGGCGAAGGCGACUCGCUGGACAGGUAUUGACGCUGAGGUGCGAAAGCGUGGGGAGCAAACAGG